RNAcentral lists this long non-coding RNA (578 nucleotides) under Lathyrus oleraceus (garden pea). RNAcentral's name for it is "Pisum sativum (pea) long non-coding RNA (PSAT_LNC032788)". The record is from RNAcentral. Lineage: Eukaryota; Viridiplantae; Streptophyta; Magnoliopsida; Fabales; Fabaceae.
UGAGAGAGCGUUUGAGUGAGAUUGAGAGUUAGGAGCGCGCUUGAGAGAGAAGUGUAAGGUUGGGAGAGAAGAAAGAGCGUGAGGGCGAUACCGAGAGAAGAGAGAGCGAAGGUUGAGGACGAUGAGAGUUGAGAGAGAGAGAUUCUUUGGAGUUUGAUAGAAUUCGUGGGAUUGUGAGAGACGGAGACGGAAGUGUCUUCUGUUUUGGUUUUCUUUUUUUCUUUUCUUUAAUUUACUUUUAUACAGAAUAAGUUUUAAAAAAACAUUAAAGAUUUUGUUUAAACUUCCUAAGUAGUUAAUAAGUAUUUACACCUUUUCAAUUCAUAUUCCCAUUGAAAAACCCAACAGCCAGGCGGCUGGGUUUCUUUGGUAAUCCAACAGACCCUUGCUAUUUGUUAUUUUAGUUUCUUUUUUUCAUUUUUUGUUCCAAUCUAGUAGGGUUUAUAUAUUUAGGUUGUUAUUUAAAUGAUAACUAAUUAUAAGUGGUUUGGUGGAGAAGGGUAGUAUCAUAGUCUUGAGUGGGGUGGGUUCAAUACCCGGGUAUGUUGCCUUGGUUUUCUAACACUUUGAUUUUUUUU